Molecule: ribosomal RNA, 425 nt
Filed under: uncultured bacterium
Lineage: Bacteria
Description: bacterial SSU rRNA
Rfam family: Bacterial small subunit ribosomal RNA
Source: RNAcentral
GUGGGGAAUAUUGCACAAUGGGGGAAACCCUGAUGCAGCGACGCCGCGUGGAGGAAGAAGGCCCUCGGGUUGUAAACUCCUGUCUUUGGGGACGAUAAUGACGGUACCCAAGGAGGAAGCCACGGCUAACUACGUGCCAGCAGCCGCGGUAAAACGUAGGUGGCAAGCGUUGUCCGGAAUUACUGGGUGUAAAGGGAGCGCAGGCGGAGCGGCAAGUUGGAGGUGAAACCCAUGGGCUCAACCCAUGAACUGCCUUCAAAACUGUCGGUCUUGAGUGGUGUAGAGGUAAGCGGAAUUCCCGGUGUAGCGGUGGAAUGCGUAGAUAUCGGGAGGAACACCAGUGGCGAAGGCGGCUUACUGGGCACUAACUGACGCUGAGGCUCGAAAGCAUGGGUAGCAAACAGGAUUAGAUACCCUAGUAGUCC